Molecule: RNA transcript, 4934 nt
Organism: Hevea brasiliensis (rubber tree)
Lineage: Eukaryota; Viridiplantae; Streptophyta; Magnoliopsida; Malpighiales; Euphorbiaceae
Exons: 5
Source: RefSeq, a predicted model, not a curated record
UUUCUCGCUCUCUUUUUUUCUCUGGUCGAUGACUCAUUUGGGUUCUGGAGGCCAUUCAUUCGCUGGUCAUCAGUUGUGCUUGUUUCUAAGCUCUUUUUCUUGGGCCCCCGAAAUCGAAAGCUAAAACCCUAAAAAAAAGUACAAAAAGUUGCAGAUGAUUUCUUUGCUUUCUUUGAUAUGGAGUUUGAUUCCAUGACGAUCACAGCUCCACAAGAGCAACAUCAGCGGCAGCAGCACCAGCAGCUCUCUAUGUGCUGCCUCCGGGGAUUGCUUCGCCAGGUCAAAGCAUUCCAAAUUUUUCUGGUUCUGUUAUGUACCAUUUUUUGCCUUGCUACAUGUGGACCAUGCCUGAUGGAUGGGAUGCAGAAAUCCAAGGAGUAUGAUGGCUGUGGAGCCUAUGGAGAUGAUUGUGCUUUGGGUUUUCAAGAUAUUAUUGUUGCUGAUGCUAGUUCAGGCUAUGAAAAAGAAAGUCCUUUGACUCACAUGAGUAUCAAGAAUAUUUGUACCAAUUCUCAUUCUUUCUGCUUUCCUUCAACAUUGCCUGGUCUUCCAUCUAAUGAGCAAGAGCAUAAAGCAGAUGCUGUAGAAGUUGCUAGGAGUCUCUCUGAUAGUCCAUCUGUAGGACCAACUCAGGAUAGCAAGGGGGCUAGUAACAGGAGGUGGUUUUCAGAUUCUGGUGUGUUUGAGUUGUUAAAUGGGCGGACUGUUUCUUGUUCUUUGAAUUCCAUGGAGGGCAUCAAUCAAUUAUCAUCCAUGCAAAAUGGUAGUGCUAAUCAAAAUGACAUUUCUUCCUGUAGAGGUCCUUUACUAACUAAGAAGAGCGCAAGUUUUAGGCUGAACACAGACUCUGAGAUGACAAAAUCUAGUCCCUUUGAUGUUUCUUUGUCACCCCAUGUAAAAAUUAGCCCUCCUGUACUUGAUUGGGGAUACAAGCACUUGUAUUUUCCCUCCGUAGCUUUCUUAACAGUAGCUAAUACGUGUAAUAACAGCAUUUUAUAUGUGUAUGAACCGUUUAGUACCAAUAUACAGUUUUAUCCCUGCAAUUUUAGUGAUUUUUUUUUAGGACCUGGUGAAGUAGCAUCAGUUUGUUUUGUGUUUUUACCAAGAUGGCUGGGCUUGUCCUCAGCUCAUUUGAUCUUGCAGACAAGCUCUGGUGGUUUUCUGAUCCAGGUUAAAGGCUAUGCUACGGAGUCUCCUUACAAGAUUAGUCCUGUUAUAAGUGUGGAUGCUGCUUCUAGUGGACGGUUGAUUAGGAAUUUGUCUUUGUUUAAUCCUUUCAAUGAAAACCUCUAUGUUAGGGAAAUAAGCACAUGGAUUUUGGUUUCUCAAGGAAAUAUUUCCCAUCAUACUGAAGCAAUCUGUAGCGUAGAAAAUUUUCAAGAUUCUAACAGGCUGAGCCUGCUGAGUGUUAAGGAUUGGUUGGUUGUGAAGAGUGGCGAAGCUGAUUUUACAUUGAUGGCUAUAAGACUUCAUGAAAAUUGGGAGAUUGGUCCUCAUGGCAGUGAAACUGUCAUAGAGAUAGACCUCUCAUUUGAAUCUGAAGUUCAAAUUGUUGGUUCUUUUUGUAUGCAGUUACUAAGGGCUUCUCAAGACAAGUCUGAUACUAUUUUGGUUCCUCUUGAAAUUAAUCUAGAUGGAAAAGGGUCAUAUAAUGGUAUUUCAAGUUCAGUUUCAGUUUCUCUUGAGGCUCUGGUGUCAUGUGAUGCUAGCAACACUUUUGUUGCUAUCUCUUUGAGAAAUGGAGCUCCUCAUGUAUUUACUUUUGUCAAGAUUAGUGAAGUUGCACCAAAAAAAGUUUUCCUGUUCAAGUACAUGCAAGGCUUGCUACUGUUCCCAGGCACUGUUACACUGGCUGCUACAAUUACUUGCACUCAGCUGCUUGUUGAAUUACAUGAUCCCGUGCCUGAAAUAUCCAAUAUUUAUAAGAACUGCAAAUUAGUUGUGCUAACAAAUGACACUAGUAGUCCUCAAAUUGAAAUUCCUUGCCAGAGCAUAAUCCAUAUUUGUUUGAGACAUCAAAAGGAUUCAUCCAUUGGAAUUGAUCAUCAAUCUGAAAAGGCUGAAUCUGGAAGUAGAAGGUCAGGAUCAUUGGGCAGUAGCAGGAAUUUGCCUUUGAAGGUCAAGGCAUUGGAGACCGUAGAAGCAGAUGAAUUUGUUUUGGAGAACUGGAAAUCUCAAGGUACCACAAGCAGCAUGUCUGUGCUUGAUGAUCAUGAAGUAAUUUUCCCAAAGGUUCAGGUUGGAACUCAACAUUCUAAGUGGAUCACCGUAAAGAAUCCUAGUGAACAGCCAGUUGUAAUGCAGCUCAUUCUUAACUCAGGAGAAAUUAUUGAUGAAUGCAGGGGCACAGACAGUUUUAUACAACCCCUUUCAUCAAGUAGUUUGGUUCAUAAUGAGUUUAAGACAACUAGGUAUGGAUUCUCGGUGGCAGAGGGUGCACGAACAGAGGCCUACGUUCAUCCUUAUGGGAAAGCAUAUUUUGGGCCAAUUUUAUUUCAUCCUUCAAAUAGAUGUGGGUGGACAAGUUCUGCCCUGAUAAGGAACAAUCUUUCUGGUGUCGAAUGGUUAUCUUUGAGAGGAGUUGGAGGUUCACUUUCCCUUGUCCUGCUUGAGGGGUCUGAGCCUAUUCAGAGCAUAGAAUUUAAUCUCAACUUGUCAUUUCCUCUAAAUCUCUCUCCUCCAGACCCGUUAUUUAACAUGAAAGAGACCACUUAUGCUUGUUCUCAGCAGCUGUCGAAAGAGCUGUAUGCCCAAAACACGGGAGACUUGCCUUUUGAGGUGAAAAGUAUUGAAGUUUCUGGAACAGAGUGUCGGUUGGAUGGGUUUAUUGUUCAUAAUUGUAACGGUUUUUCACUUGAACCAGGUGAGUCAACAAAGCUUUUGAUAUCAUACCACCCUGAUUUUUAUGCGCCAAUGUUACAAAGAGAUCUAGAACUGGCCUUGGCUAGCGGAAUUUUUGUGAUACCAAUGAAGGCAAGUCUUCCUGUAUAUGUGUUCAAUCUUUGCAAGAAAUCAGUAUUCUGGAUGAGAUUGAAGAAAUUCUCUGCAGUUGUGUUUCUUUCUGCUUCCUUGAUGUUCUUGAUCUUUUGUUGCAUAUUCCCCCAAGUGAUGAGUUUUGGCUCCCAGGAUUAUUUCUAUAAGAGUGAGAAGAGUGUUCAUGCUACAGCGAGAAGUUCAGGGAAAUCUGCUCGCCAGGAUCUUAGUCAGAAAAGCAGUAAGUUUUGUAUGCCUCCUGAAAUGGAUGGCUUGUUAAGCUCAGUUGAAGGCAAAACCUCAGAGCAGGCAUCUGGUUAUAAAUAUCUUGGUAGUCAACUUGGAGGCCCAGACCAUGGGAUAACUGUUGAGAAUGGGAUACCAUCCCUAGAAGAUCACAAAGCAGUACCAUCUUUGCUGUCAAAAUCUGUAGCAAUUGAAAAUUCUAAUGCACUUGAUGCUUCCCAACCUUGUAGCCUUACCGUCAGGAUUGGAAAAGAGAAAGGAAGAAGGCGAAGGAAGAGAAAGGGUGUUACUGCAGGUUUAACAGGACUUUUUGAAGUUUCAAGUAGUCAAAGUGGGAAUUCCACACCUUCAUCUCCUCUAUCUCCUGUAAUGAAUGUGACUCCUAAUCGUACUUGGUCACCAUCUCCUGACAUGGACCCUAUUGAAGCUAGAAAUCCAUUCACUCUAGUGGCUGACCAACAGGGUGAGGUUCGAGUGGCUGAGUCUACUGCCAAGGCAACUGUAUUGGAGCCCAGGGUUUAUUUAAAAUGCUACAGUAGUAAUUGUUUCUCUGCUACUGCAAAGCAACUUUCAGUGCCAGAAGAAACUACUGGAAAGCCCGUUUUGUUGCCUUCUGCCACUAUUCCUUCUGGUGGUAGGGCUGUCCCCAAUCUGAUGCACACUUCUCCAGCUUCAAAAUCUACAAUUGCUCCUCAUGCUCGAGCUCCUGGGCCCAGGCUUUAUAACCAGAAAAAAGUAGAAGAAAAGAAAAUCCGAGUCUUUCUAAGACUCGAGAGCACUUUUAAGAGGCCUUGACCUUGAGAUUCAAGAAUGAUGAUCAGCUUGUGAUGUUAAGUUCCGCGCCUGCAAAGAAGCUCUUGCUUGCAACGUGUUGCUUGCAAGCAGUAAGGAUACUACUUCACGGACCACUGUGGUAAAAGCAGACUAUAAAUGCAAAAUCUGUGGUAGCAUGCCAUAAAGCCAUAAAGGUUGUUAGAAAUCGGUAACUUUCAGACUGCUUGGUGAGAAAACCUGCAACAGAUCGCAGAUGGUUAAAGACCAGCAAAGGACAUGUUACAGAUAAGACGGAUUUUUGGUCCGCAAAACUGUUUGAUGUUUACCACAGAGAAGAUUGCCCGUGCUCAUGUUUGCCGAGACCCAGCAACAAUUGGCUACCAUUUCUAAAUGAUGAUUAUUAAUUGCUAUUUUGCGGGGGACCCUAAGUGUUUUUUUUUUUUUUUUUUUUUCCCUCUCAAAACAGAGCUGGCAGAACCUAUAUGGGAAACCAGACGCAGACCGCAUCAAUCCCAUCAUCUAAUCAUCAUAACUAAUUGGUUGUGGUCUCAUUCUUUGUUUGUGGGUAUGAGCUGCCUCUCUCUAUUUUGAUAGGUUCUAAAAUGCUAGAGAUGUUGUGAAGUGUAGUGUUAUAUUUUUGCAAUAUCUAUAUUUUUUUCCUCUUCUAAAUAAGCUUGUAUAUCUGGAUUUUAAUCAGUUCACAGAUCAUUAGGAUGUAUUAGAAGUGGUCCAGUCUUUUGGUGUCCACUGGACCACAUCAUGCACACUGAAUAAGGACUGUGACCCAUCACCCUUUCCCUUGGAGUCUUGCUCUUGACUACCCUUCAUAGUCCUAGCAAGGCACACAAGACAGAAUUGAGAAAGAUAUAGCUACUUAAUUUCUGUACAAGAGGAUUUUGCAAAAAUCUGUGAACAUUAGUACUUCACCUUAGGUAACUAAA